CCUUCCGAGGAGCGCUGCGACCCGCCGUACGGCUGGCCAGGCUCGGAAUCAACACCGCGCUCACGUUAC
Molecule: non-coding RNA, 69 nt
Filed under: Massilia sp. Root351
Lineage: Bacteria; Pseudomonadati; Pseudomonadota; Betaproteobacteria; Burkholderiales; Oxalobacteraceae
Also listed under: 1 other name
Description: SAH (S-adenosyl-L-homocysteine) riboswitch aptamer
Rfam family: SAH (S-adenosyl-L-homocysteine) riboswitch aptamer
Source: Rfam by way of RNAcentral